ACUCAAAUGAAUAGACGGGGGCCCGCACAAGCGGCGGAGCAUGUGGAUUAAUUCGAUGCAACGCGAAGAACCUUACCUGGGUUUGACAUACACCAGAAAGCCGUAGAGAUACGGCCCCCCUUGUGGUUGGUGUACAGGUGGUGCAUGGCUGUCGUCAGCUCGUGUCGUGAGAUGUUGGGUUAAGUCCCGCAACGAGCGCAACCCUUGUCCUGUGUUGCCAGCGCGUGAUGGCGGGGACUCGCAGGAGACUGCCGGGGUCAACUCGGAGGAAGGUGGGGACGACGUCAAGUCAUCAUGCCCCUUAUGUCCAGGGCUUCAAACAUGCUACAAUGGCCGGUACAGAGGGCUGCGAGACCGUGAGGUGGAGCGAAUCCCUUAAAGCCGGUCUCAGUUCGGAUCGGGGUCUGCAACUCGACCCCGUGAAGUUGGAGUCGCUAGUAAUCGCAGAUCAGCAACGCUGCGGUGAAUACGUUCCCGGGCCUUGCACACACCGCCCGU
Molecule: ribosomal RNA, 498 nt
Filed under: uncultured bacterium
Lineage: Bacteria
Description: partial 16S ribosomal RNA
Rfam family: Bacterial small subunit ribosomal RNA
Source: RNAcentral